Long non-coding RNA from Heterocephalus glaber (naked mole-rat), 429 nucleotides. NCBI's taxonomy places the organism in Eukaryota, Metazoa, Chordata, Mammalia, Rodentia, Bathyergidae. The record is from Ensembl.
AAGCUUCUUUCUGGCUUAGUGUGUUAACUAUCGGUUUAGAACUGAGUGGGAGAAGUUAAGGCUAGUGCUGCAAUGAAAUUCUUAGAGCGUGGGGUUCAAAAGCACAGCACUGGCAUCUGCUUGCCUUCCGGUGAGGGCCUUAUAUUGCGUCAUCUCAUGGUUGGAAGCAGAAGUGCAAGGUGGGAAAUGCAGAAGAGGUGAAACACAAGGAGCUGCCUCACUGUAUGACAACCACUCUCCUGGGAUCGAACUCGGGACCUUGUGCUUGAGAGGCAGGCGUCAUGCCACUGAGCUAAAUUACCGGUCAACAUCAACCUUUUGGAUCAAUUGUUUUGAUUAAAUAAAAUACAUAUGUGACUAUUCACUUUAAAGUGAUAAACUAACUUCACACUUAUGUAUUAAAUGAGUAUUUUGAGUGACUAUUAACUG